GAAAUGCGAUAAGUAAUGUGAAUUGCAGAAUUCAGUGAAUCAUCGAAUCGUUGAACGCACAUUGCGCCCGGCAGUAAUCUGCCGGGCAUGCCUGUCCGAGCGUCAUUUCUGCCCUCGAGCGCUGUCCGCCCUAGCCGGCGGGCCGCCGCCUCGGUGUUGGGGCGCCACGGGGGAGCCCUAGCGCUCCCCCGCGGGCCCCGAAAUGAAGUGGCGGCCCCGCCGCGGCGCCCCCUGCGUAGUAGUCUCACAGCUCGCAUCGGGUCCCGGCGGAGGCCUGCCGUCAAGCCCUCACUCACGAUGGUUUGACCUCGGGUCAGGUAGGGUUACCCGCUGAACUUAA
This 340-nucleotide unclassified non-coding RNA is filed under the name uncultured Microascaceae. Its description in RNAcentral is "partial contains 5.8S ribosomal RNA, internal transcribed spacer 2, and large subunit ribosomal RNA". The stretch from base 1 to 105 matches the Rfam family "5.8S ribosomal RNA", at positions 50 to 154 of the family's 154-position model. Lineage: Eukaryota; Fungi; Ascomycota; Sordariomycetes; Microascales. The record is from RNAcentral.